UAGGGAAUCUUCCACAAUGGGCGAAAGCCUGAUGGAGCAACGCCGCGUGAGUGAAGAAGGGUUUCGGCUCGUAAAACUCUGUUGUUAAAGAAGAACAUAUCUGAGAGUAACUGUUCAGGUAUUGACGGUAUUUAACCAGAAAGCCACGGCUAACUACGUGCCAG
This 164-nucleotide ribosomal RNA is filed under the name uncultured bacterium. RNAcentral describes it as "partial 16S ribosomal RNA". It matches the Rfam family "Bacterial small subunit ribosomal RNA", at positions 355 to 511 of the family's 1533-position model. The record is from RNAcentral.